ACGUUCGGAUUGUAGUCUGCAACCCGACUACAUGAAGCCGGAAUCGCUAGUAAUCGCGGAUCAGAAUGCCGCGGUGAAUACGUUCCCGGGUCUUGUACACACCGCCCGUCACACCAUGGGAGUCGGGAAUGCCCGAAGUCAGUGACCCAACCCAAGGGAGGGAGCUGCCGAAGGCAGGCCUGGUGACUGGGGUGAAGUCGUAACAAGGUACC
Molecule: ribosomal RNA, 212 nt
Filed under: uncultured bacterium
Lineage: Bacteria
Description: partial 16S ribosomal RNA
Rfam family: Bacterial small subunit ribosomal RNA
Source: RNAcentral